Chiloscyllium plagiosum (whitespotted bambooshark) is the source of this 519-nucleotide non-coding RNA. The record is from RefSeq and is a predicted model, not a curated record. Lineage: Eukaryota; Metazoa; Chordata; Chondrichthyes; Orectolobiformes; Hemiscylliidae.
UUGAAGUCUGACCCAGCGUCAUUGAAGAGACUCACAUGUCUGACUCUAUUUUUAGUAAUAGUUAAUAUUAGGCCACUGGGAAGGUGAUGGCCUAAUGGUAUUUUUGCUGGGCUAUUAAUCCAGAGACCCAGGCAACGUUCUGGGGAUUUCGGUUUGAAUCCUGCCAGAUGGUGAAUCUUGGAAGAGUCUGUGAUAACCAUGGAUCCAUUGUCGAUUGUCAGAAAAACCCUUCUAGUUCACUAAUGUCCUUUAGGGACAUCAGCAGAUCAAGUAGAAUCAUGGAAUUAUUGACACCACCUUCUGGACUUCUAUGUUUAACAGCAGGCCUCCCAUUAGGAAAUUCCUGGUAAGAAGAAACAAUUUAUGAUCAACAUGAUCUGGCUGAGCAUCCAUCGCUUUGAGAGAAUCCUACAAUCAGGUAUUACUACCACAAUUACUGAAACUGUAUUAGCUGUGCUUUUGGAGUGAAAAACCACCGUCAUUCCCAGGCCCGCAAUUACUGUAUUUUCCAUUAAAAAA